Molecule: long non-coding RNA, 17281 nt
Organism: Ictalurus punctatus (channel catfish)
Lineage: Eukaryota; Metazoa; Chordata; Actinopteri; Siluriformes; Ictaluridae
Source: Ensembl
UCCUGUUAUAACUUAAUAGUAGCAGUGGAAGUAAGGUUUUAAUACCGUAGACAAGUUGUAUGUACUGUAUGUGAGGAAGUGAAGCGCGAACACAAAUUCUUGUGUUGCAAAAUGCACUGGCUAGACAGCUAAUAUUCAAUCCACAUUGGCGAAUAUUGGCUGUGAAGUGGUGGAAAUGGUCAACUUUAAAGCAGUCAAAAACCUCAAGCCUAAAGAAUAUAUACAGUACUGUGCAGAAGUUUUAGGCAUCCAAUUUAUUUUAGUACAAACUUUGUUAUAGAUUUUUACUUUAUCACUUAUACUUUAUCGAGUCAGUACAAAAACAUUUUAGAUUUCUAAAUAUUAGCUUUCUAGCACAAAAUUAAAUGUUACAGAAAAAUGUUUGUAUGUCAGUAAAGAAAGCAGCAUAUUACAUAAGAUACCACUUUUCAGAUUAAAGAAAAAAAAAAAAAAAGCAAUGAAGGCUGUUGGGUUUUGCUGCAAAAAUAAGAAGCAAGUCAAAGUCUCCAGAAGAACUGUGGCUAGUUCUGCAAGAUGCUCAGAAAAACUUACCAGCUAGUUUCCUUAUAAAACUGCACUAAAUGUUUUAUAAGGAAAUUAGCUGGUAAAACGGUCGUCAGACCAGAUAUGGACUUUGUUUCAUUUAUUACUGUAGAAACAUUUCAUUUAACUAUUUUUGAAGGUAUCUUUGCUCCACAGCAUUUCUUUGUAUGUGACUGUUGCACAGUAUAGUAUAUGCAGGAAAUUAACAAAGAAAUAAUUGUGUCAAUUGUGAAGUUCUUAUUAAAUGAAAACUACUCUCAGAAUAAGUAUCUACAGUCAUGGAAACAAGAAAGUAAACCCUCCUUCAAUUCUAAAUUUUUAUUUUUUCAGGGCUAAAGAAAACUUGUAUAAUCCUCACCAACUUCUAUAAACAAACAAAUAACCUCAGGUGACAAAAAAAAAAAGAUACACACAACAGAAUUCAAUAUGUAAAAAAAAAAACUAAAAAACAACAACAACAAAAAAAAAACUUGCAGAAACCAGGUGGGAAAAAAUAAGUACACCCUUCCUAUUAAAAGAGUAAUUAGCAGCCAGGUGUUCCUAUAGAAAUGCACAAGAUUAGUCGAUCAUCAAGAAGUGUGAUUACCUCUAUAAAAGUAGAACAUGUUUUGUGUUCUGGAACACUCAGGUAUAUGUCUCAGAGAAGCAACUGUUGCUGCCCAUCAAUCUGGGAAGGGUUAUAAGGUCAUCUCCCAAUAAUUUGAAAUUCACCAAUUCUACUAUGAGAAGGAUUGUUUACAAAUGAAGAGUCUUCAAGACAGUUGCCUGUCUCCCCAGGAGUGGGCAUCCCAGCAAAUUCAGUCCAAGAGCAACAUCAUGUGAUCUACAGGCCUCUACAAGCAUAUUAAAUGUUUAUGUUCAUGACCGCACAAUCAGAAUAAGACUGAACAAAAAUGUCUUACAUAAAAGGAUGGCUAGGAAAAAGCACUUCUCUCUCACUCGCUCUUUAACUGAACAAACCAUAACAGUUCUGGAACAAGUUAUUUGAACUGAUGGGACCAAGAUCUGGGAAACCUACAGUCAUUGAGAUAACAAUGAACUCCGCUGUAUACCACAAUAUUCUUGUGAGGCUAUUCGUCCAGCAGCUUAAACUAGGCUGAAAUUGGGUUAUGCAACAGGACACUGCAACAGGAAAACACCAGCAAAUAGACAUCUGAAAGGCUAAAGAAGAAAAAAAAUCAAGGUGUGGGAAAGUCAAAGUCCUCAACCCCAUUGAGAUGCUGUGAUGGGAUAAUGAGUCUUUAUUAGUCACAUAUACAUUACAGCAUAGUGAAAUUCUUUUUUUUCACAGAUCCCAGCAUGUUAGGAAGCUGGGGUCAAAGCUGGUGCAGAGAGGGUUAAGGCCCUUGCUCAAGGGCCCAACUGGGGCAGCUUGGCAGUGCUGGGGCUUGAACCCCUUCUAAUCAGUAACCCAGUGCCUUAACCGUCAAGCCACCACUGCCCCAGGAGCUUAAGAGAGUUGUGAAUAAACAUGCCUUCAAACAUCAAUGAACUAAAACAAUGUUGUAAAGUAUAGUGGGGAAAAACUUCUCCAAAAUGGUGUGAGAGACCAAUAAAAUCAACUGGCUGCCAUUUACUACAUCAAACCAAAUAUAUAAUCAGCUGAACUUACCAUUUCUCCACCUAAUUUGCUUCCAUAUUUUUGCACAACCCCAUUAAAUACAUAUGUAUGCAGAGGGAAAGUACAUUUUGCGUAUUGUUUUAAACUGCAUUUCGGCUCAUAGUCAGCUUUGUACACAAGGUAUUUUUGCAGAGAAUUCAGUGUAAUUGAACCUAAAAGCUGGGACAAACCGCUUAGUACAGGGAACAAAUCACAUUUACUGAUUUAUCCACUAUUUGUUGUCUUUUGGCCUUUAUGGAUGCCCAGAUACAAUUACUAACUUAAAUGUGAGUGGUUCCUUUGUUGGCAUUAUUAUGUUGGCAUUAUUUGAGAUAGUUCUAAUUGCAGAUCCAAAUGUCAAGGAGGUGGAGUUGGAUCUAAUUAAACUCCACCUAUAAACCUAACCCUAAUCCUAACUCCUAACUCACACAAUGCUGCACAACACGAAACAACACACUAACAAACAACCAACCUGAAACACACUCCCCUCCCUAGAUUUUGGCUUGACUCCACCCAGUUCCACCUAAGUAGGAAGAAGUAUAUCAGUAUACCUGUGGACUUUUGUUCUUCAGCCCUUACUUGCAAUAUUUGGUGCUGUUUCCCAUUCUCAGGGGUGCAUACAUGAUAAUUAACCCAUAUAGCCUAGGGUUUUGCAAUGCAAAAAUCAACAGAAGGUGGAUUCUGAAUGCAGACUCAGAUAAAAAUAAAAAUCAUAUUUAUAAAUAAACCACAAAAAUGUAUUAGUAUUUAGAAAUAAACCACAAAUGAAGUAGGGUUGCCAUGUCCAAAAGGCACUAUGAAACAAAUCACAGAAAAAUUAUGGCCAGUAUACUGGGCAGCUAUGGACAAACCAGCUAAAUGAGCUAAUUCAGGGCAGUAUUGGUUCAGUGGUUAAGGUGGGUUAUUGCUCAGAAGGUUGGGGGUUCAAGUCCUCGCACUGCCAAGCUUUCAGGGUUGGGCCAAGCUGCCUCUGUUGGGCCCUUGAGCAAGGCCCUUAACCCUCUCCACUCCAGUAUCAUGUAUCAUGGCUAACUCUGCGCUCUGAUCCAAGCUUCCCAACAAGCUGGUAUAUGCAAAAAAAUAAAUGUCUUCUUCGAAUUGCAGCUCUCAAAAAGCAAGAGUCUGAUUUCAGUUAUAGUCCAGAGAUGCUGCUGCUGUGAUGCCUACUGAAUAUCAAGAAGAGGUUAUAGAACAAUUUAUUUGUACUGUUUAUUGUUAUAAAAUUACAGCACUACACUGUAUUAAUAACCCAAACUUUCUAUCAUAAACUAAUGAAUCAGCCAGUCACUGAUAUCAAUUGGAAUAAACCUUAUAAAAUCAGUAAGGCACAUAUUAUGAAUGAGAAUUGAUUGGUGUGGCCCCUUUAUUCUGGUCCUCAACCUCAAAUGAGUUUGCCACUUUGACUUAGUACAUCAAGUCUGGGUUGAAUUUUAAAGCAUUUCAUUAACAGUAUCAUUAACACAAUGAAUGUUCAAUUAACUCUCACAGUGCUAAACAAAACCAAUUUCUAUAAUUGAGUUUUUAAUCAUUAACACCUACAGUGUUGACUUAAGCUUUCAGAGUGUUGUAUUAAGUUGGAUGGACACAGAACAUUCUGUGUCAUUUUCCUUACAUAUGACAGGUGCUGAGGAACAGCUGAGAGUGCUGGCUUAUUGAGCAUCCCAUGUGUAUCCAAGUUAAAUCAAAAAGUUAGACCAAACCAAAACAGCAAUCCAAAGAACAAAACAGGCAUAAGUCAAGAGAAAAAUCAGUCAGAUAAAUAAGUAUCUGUGCAUUAUUUUAAUGGAUGCACAAGAAGCACUGAUAAUUAAACUAUAGUCCUAAAUUAAUAAUAAAAACUCACUUUCACUGCACCUUGUGGUUUCUGUUACUCAUGUCCUUUAGGCAUAUUAUUUUACUUGUGUUUACUUUGAUCAUACUGUUUUAAUUAGACAUUGCAGAUCUUACUUGCACUCCCACUGUGUAUCACCGCAUCUACACCGUGAGUGAGGUGCAACACAGCCUCAUUACUAACAGAUCACUUCCGUUAUAAUAAACUACAGAAUUUAGUAAAUACAAUAUAUAAUGAAAAUAAACUGGAAUUAAUCUAAAUCUUUUAAGCAAUUUGCACCAGUUUCCCCAACCCCUUGAACAGAGGAGCAUUUUGGAUAUAAACAUGUUUGUGCUCGUGCAUCACUGUCGUGCUUCCGUGCUACACAAGCUCUACUUUUUACAAAGUUUACAGGUUACUGUCAUCUUCAUGGUGUUUAACGUAAAAUGCCCCCUGCCUUAUGCCACUGUCUGAUGGUAACGAAGGUCAUGUUCGGUAUAAAAGGUAACGUUGACAUAAACAGUAAACAAGAAAUUUGUUUUCAUUUACUUAUAGGGAAACGGCUUAUACUUCCAGUUAGUAAAAAAAAAAAACCCUCUAGUGUUCCAUUUGAGAUGAUAUUACCUUUCUAAAAUUCAUACACUAGAAGGUAGAGUACACAGUGCAUAGUGUACAUGUAUAGUACGUCACUUAGGACACAACUUUAGUAUUUACUCUCCAAUGCAUGCCAUAGAUAUAGAAAACAGCCAUAGAUAUAGAAAACCUAUAAAACCUCACCCUCUUGUUUGGGAUGAGUUUCCAAAUUGUCCACGUUGAGUUAAUGCAUCCAUGGAGCUUUUUAUGCAAAAUGUCAGCACUUUUAGGAUGACACACACACACACACACACACACACACACACACACACACACACACACACACUUGUAUUAUUGUAAUUAUGGGGUCCAAAUGUACUCACAGUAACAUGUCAAAAUGACUUGUAAGGUCAUUUCGUUGGUUGUCCUGUGUCCUUCAUACAUCAUUCACCCAAUAUAGUCUACUGUAAACUUAGAGAAAAUCUAAUAAAAAAUAACUGCUCCCACAGACACACAGACCUCAAGGGUGACUCUGACAUAAUGGUCCUUUAUAUGUUUUAAAGCUACAAUUGAGAACAAGGCUUAGAACAAGAUGUUGCAGUUUAAUUUCUACUAUGGACAGUGUGUCCAAUGUCUCUUUGUUCCAGCAAAUAAUUACACAAGACAUUUACAUAAGCUGCCAAAAGCCAUGAUACAGUACAUUUUGGACAUGAGGUUAAGUGCAUAACGCUGGACACUGCUCUAUACUCGAUGGUAGCAACCAUCUGUACAUAGUUGGCUGUUCUUGUUGAUACUCCAGGUCUGUUCUGUUACUGAUCAGUGAUAUGAUCAUGUGGCAUACAUAUCAUUUCUUUUUAGUGCAAAUUGUUAUUGUUUGAUUUGAGAUGUCACUGCCCUAUAAAAUAAAUAAAUAAAUAAAUAAACAGGUGCUAGAUAGUCAAUAUGGUGGAUAGUGUAAGAAAAUAGGGUCAUAUUCCGAGUUAAGUUCAAACUUCCAAACUGAAGUUCAAAAGUCAAUAUUUACACAGGAAAAUUCUCCUUAUUCUGUGUGAACCCAUUCAGAUCAUUAAAAGUACCUGCAUAAUUCAUUUACCAAAGAUCAACAGAUUUUUCUUGUUCUUGUAAACAUAUCGGAAUUUUUUUCCCAGGUGUGUCUAGACUAGGGAUGUCACAAGAACCGAUACUUCGGAACCAAGUCAGUACCAACAUUCUUAAAAUGUGACCGUACUUGUUUUUCUGCAGUAGCGUCGGUACUAUGCUAAUGAAGGUACCGAGGUUGCAAUUCUUCUGGAACUGAAGGGGGUAGCAAAUACGCGCAAGUGUUUUAGCCGGUCCACAAGUGGUAAAGAAGAACAACAACAACUACAAGCACACGUGAAACACUACAGAAGACGGCGACAAUUUUAGCUCUGCCCUGACUCAUUGAGAGGCAAAGAGAGGAAAGGUAGCAUCGGUUGCCGGUGUAUCAUUAAUUUCAAACAAAGCGAGGAAACACCUGGAAUUUGGCGAAGCACCUGAAACCCAGGCCCUAUAUUAUAUUUGUUUGAGGCAGCUCGCAUUGUGUUAUGCUCCAUGUAAUGUUUGUGAUAGCCAGUUAUUUGUUAACAACACUAACGCAUUGCGAUGUUAUAAACUACGUCCUAAUGGGCCACAAUGCAUCGCCAUUCAGCCCGUGUCCUGUCAGCUAAAUGUAGUCUAAUGUCACUGAUAAUUAUUUAAAUGGUAAUGCUUUUAGUAAAUCUUUUUGGCCUGCCACCAGAUCAGUGAAUUUAAACUAAUACUUGCAUUCAGAGUAUAAGUUUUUUUUUUUUGUGUGUGUGUGUGUGUGUGUGUGUGCACGCAUGCAUUUAGGAGUGCACCUUAGCACUUGCUAUUAGCACUUAGCCCUGUUGUAUUAGUCAUUGUCAGACAGUGUCUGAUAACUAAAAUAUCCCCCUCUCUGUCCCUUUUUUUAUUUUGAAUUUUUUUCAUACCACACCGUGGUAUCGACUUUGGUAUCGAGUAUCGUGUAUUUUUGGUGGUAUCAGUACCGUCUACUAGAUUUUUGGUAUUGUGACAUCCCUAGUCUAGACCACUGCUUUUGAAAAAAAGCACUUUCCUUUAAGCAUGAAAAAACUGGGGGAUAGAAAAUACAGACUGAUGAGACGUAAUUCUGUUUCUCCUUUGCUCUCAACUGCAAUAUGAUGUAACGUUUAAAGAAAGACACUGUAAAAGAAAUAUGAUGAUGCGCAAAGGCAAAAAAAUAAAAAUAAAAAUCUAAUAUGAGUCUAAUAUAUUUCCAAUUCAUUCAUCACUGCAAAAUUGUCUUUAUUUAACACUACGACUUUCAGACUCAUUAUUAGUCUAACAGUUUAUAAAAUAGCAACUGAUACGCAUAGCUUAUUUUGCGCAUGAUGAAAUAGCUGGAAAUAGCCUAUUACAUUGUACUGAAAGUGUGAUCCUUAAGCAGGGAUAAAAAUGCUGUAUGUGCUGUUUAGCGCUUCAGAAAGAAGGGGCUGGAUGAAAAUACCUUAUAUAUUUAAUUAUUUAUUAUGGACAUAAUUAAUUAUGCAUAUCAUUUAAUGUGGGCAUGAAAUGCUAAAUGAGGUCAUGAGAUCAUAAUGUGUGCAUGCAAUGUAAGCUAAUAAAUGAAUGCCUAGGUGUUGGUUAAUUUCAUGCUCUCUCCUGUAAAGAAAAAGUGCCCACAGUUUAAAGGAUAAGCUGACGAAGCAACAAUCUGCUCCAGUUACAGUUCACUUUAAGAAGUAAAGUGCACAGUGUGUGAAUUAAGACACAUGCUGUGUCAUUUCAGUAACUGACAAGUCAAAUUCCUUGUAAAUUAUACCAUGAAGGUUAGUGUGAUCAUUAGUUGUCCGUUCAAUGUCAUUCUCUAAUGUGCUAUUGGAUUUGCCUUCCUUUUGGAAAAAAUGCCUAUUGUGGGUAUUUUUAAGAACAGGACUCAAACACAACCUCUCUCUUUUUUCAUGCCUUUGUCUCUCAUGCGAUAUUUCUCUCUCUAUGUCUCUUCCCUAUCUGCACUUUUCCACAUUUCUUUCUUGAUCUUUAUAUUUCUUUUUCAGUCUAUCUCUGUCUAUUGCUGACUUAUUUGCCAUUUCUUUUUCAUCUUCUCCCAUUCUCUCCCUAUACCAUUUAUUCAAUGAGACAGACACUUCCAAGGGGCAAAAAAAGUAUUUUAAUAUAAAACACAAAUCCACUCAUCUUUUAGACAUUCGCUGCUAUUAGACAUUCAAAAAAAAUCAAUAAUGAACAAUUUCUAUGAAAGAAAAAUCUCCACAAAUAUUUUUUGCGCUUUUGGGUCUGCAGCAACAGUACCAUUGUAGGUGGCCUUGGACGUGUCUCAUUUUCCAGUGUGUCUCAGAUUUCAACUAUUUCUUACCCCUUUAUGUUACAUGCUCGGGCCUGCUUUACACACACUCCCUGGUGCGAGACACACUGCUGGAAAGAGAUGAAGGGAUCUGGGUGUAUUGAUGGAGCCACUCGUUAUGGUGGUAAGGACCCUUGUGUUUUAUGAUUGUGUGUGUGUGUACGUGUGUGUGUCCUAGGAGCCCACCCCUGAAGUGUGAGUCAGUGAGACGGUAUUACAGGUGGGAUAUGACAGGAAGAACAUGGAUCCUGGAAAAGAGGGAGGAUAAUAAACAAAACGUCUGACACACAAGGAGUUUUAGGGUAGGUAGAAUAGGGGCUGUGUUUCAAAAACAACUCAGACAUUUUAUUGCAGUGAAUCAAAUUGUCUUGUCUGCCCUGAUUCUGUCCCGACUGACCUACCAAGCUCUAUAAACCAUCUACCAUACCUUUACUUUCCUUAUGUGAUCCUUAUCAUUUCUUAUUAUAAGCUCUGGGCGGCUGUGGAUCAGGUGGUAGAGUGGGUUGCCCACUAAUCGUAGGGUUGGUGGUUCAAUUCCCAGCACACAUGACUCCACAUGCCAAAGUGUCCUUGGGCAAGACACUGAACCCCAAGUUGCUCCCAAUGGCAAGCUAGCACCUAGCUUGCAUUGCUACCAUGAGUGUGUGUGUGUGUGUGUGUGUGUGUGUGUGAGAAUGGGUGAAUGAGACACAGUAUGAAGCACUUUGGAACUGCUAAGGUUAAAAUAACAGUGUGUAAGUGCAGACCACUUACCAUAAUAUUGCUAUGACUGUUUAUUACUUUUACUGUUUCCUUAUGACACAUGUCUUGUUUGUCUGUUUAUAAACCGUCUGUGUUUGCAAAGAAAGUUUGUGGGAAUAGAUCAAGGUUCAAAAGUCAUGACAGAAUGUUGAUAUUUCUCAAUAUGGCAGAAACCUUAAAAGUUUGUGGUUCAUAAUAAAUAUAAUCAAAUUGUAAUUAUAGUCAUGUGAAGCUGUUCUUAGCAAUUUAUUAACAAAUUAGAGGGAAAUGCUGACAUUUCUGAUGUAUUUUUCUUGUUUCCACUGUUUCUGUCAUUUCCCAUUGUCCAUAUAUCGAAAAACAGACAUGUUAUAGCUAGCAAGAUCAUUAUAAGCCUCAGUCAUUGGCUAACUUAUACUCAGUAUUUUCUGUUGUGUUAUCACAUCUUUAACCACUUGAACAGCAACCAUGUCGUGUGUUUGCCUUAACCUCCAGAUAAUGUAUCAUAUACACGACAAUAUUUUUUGUUAGAAACAGUCAAAUAGCACAUCGUAAUUAUCAGAGCAUAGUCACUCAGUAAAUGUAUCGAGAAUAGGCUUAGUGUCAUCAGUGGGUCAAGGAAAGAAAAAAAAACCCCUGAAAAACACUUCUAUACUGGAAAAUACUGGAAGCAUGUAACAUCAGGUAAUUCCAUGUGCAAGUCAUGUUUCUGAAAAACUUGGAAGCAUGCCAUUUCACAAAAAUUUUCACCAAUACGCCCUCAGCUCAUGCAAAUGUUAUCUUUUUUAAAUCUUCAUUUCAUAAUCCUAUCAUGCACACAGAGAUGCACAUACACAUACUCAAAUCAAAACAUACUCUGUGGCGUUUGAUGGAAAUAACGCUGAUGUGUAUUGGUUCAAACAGUUCUAGACAUAAGACAAAUGGACAUGUCCUCAGCCUGCAGGCCGAAUCUGAUAUUAUCAGCACUGCUCAUGCAUGGUUUAAUCUCCAUCAUACAAGAUCUCACUUAAACAUGUAAAAGCUGGGUGUGCACAUUACACAAUGAUCCAGAUGCCCACAGAUAGUACUACAAUGGGACAUAAGCAAAAUGGCUUGUCUGUUGGGUCACAUUUUGACCAAAAUAUUCCAAACCUCCAUUUUAUUUAAAAGAAGCUCUUUUUAAACAUCAGCUUCAGUUUCAGCUUAGGAUGAAUAUAAAAAUUUAUAUUCAUAAAACACAGCUGCCAUAAAUAUGUUUUGUCUUUAACAGAGACCAGUAUUACUACAUUUGAUCAAAACCAGCAUGAGCAUGUUUAAUCCAUGUGCUCUGUUCUAACAUUUGAUGUGUGUACAUGCAGGAGUUUACUUUUUGUUAAAAAAAAUUUAAAUUCUCAAAAAUAAAUAGCAUUUGCAUGACUUCAACUUAACAAUGAUUUUGCCAGCAUGUCAGCCAGUCUAGAGGUUAUUUUUCCAACACCUUAAUGCAUUAUGCUGUAGCUAUUCCCUGGUCCUCCUAUGCAACAUUUCCCCCCCGAGUAUUAGGCAUAUUUGUUUAAUUCAUAAAGCAUUUAUUAUGAUUAUUCUUUUUUUAAACAAUGAUAGGUGCACGACUGCAAGCCAGCUAUGCCCUGUGAACAAAUAACAAACUUGCACAGCACAAAAACAUCUCUUGAAAUGUAUUCAUGCAACAAACCUCAGCUGUAUAAUGAAACUGCAGGACUUUUCAUUGCCAAAUUCAGAGUUUUGCCUUUGUGUUUGAGAAAUAAUACAGCACUAUGGACAGUGGUGAUAUAGUACCAGUAGCUCAUAAGUGGUGCAAAGGAAAAUGCUUGGUUUCUAGCCAUCCCACAGCCAACAAUGGCCAGAAGUCCACAACAGGCCAUGCUUUCUCGGUGGGUAGGAUGUUGUUAAUCUCUUCCCUAUUGAUCAGAAUGACAAUGACCAAUCAUGCCCAUCUGUGUGCUCAUGUUAAGGUUGAUCAUUGUUCCUGUAUAUGAUCUCUGCCAGUUGGUUGUCUCUCAGUGUAUGCUGUUCUAUAUGCUGCAUUAUCUGGCUUGUUCUCUGCACUGAGUCUUAUGAUAUAAUACAUAUCUGCUUUGAUUGAGCUGGUGCUGAGUGCUUUUUUCUUGUGCUCCCAUGAUAAGUACCUUUGCAUGCACGGUCCUUUAGCUGUGUCCUUUCUAUCAACUGGUAGGAUUUUCCCAUUUGAGCCACCUCUACUAUAUAUUAAUGAUAAAAUCGCUGGAGGAGCUGAUUCAUCUUCAGCUUCGCUAACCACUUUAUCCAGGUCAGAGUAGCGUUGGAUCUGGAGCAUAUCACAGGAACAUUGAAUGCAACAUAGGGACACACCCCAUAUGGGAUGUCAGAGCUUUGCAGGGCAUCACACACAUUCAUACUUUAGAGAAAUUUAGAGUUAUCUAUUUUGUGAACAGAGGGAAAGUGGAGAACCCAGAGGAAACCCAUGCAGUCACUGGGAGAACAUGCACAGAAGCUGUGAAGCGGCAAUGCUAUCCACCGCUAUCCAUCAUCAUCAUCAUCCCUUAUUAUCUUACAGCAGAUGCUCUAUUUGCACCUGUCCUGAUAAAAUAGUGGAGUCAAUCUAAACACAAUCUGGCUCUUUGGACAAUAUAUUUAGUCAGUGAUUAUUUUAACUACAGUCGUUUGACAGGCUCAAACUGUUUGUGUUUCAUUAUUGUUGACUGAAGGCAGUAGUACGGAUAAUACAUACAAUGAGUGUUGCUCAUUAAUAGUUGACACUGUGUCUUAGGAGUGUACACACGUUACCAAAUGAAUGGAAUGAUGUAUUUUCCAGACUAUAAGUCAACCCAGAGUGUAAAAUGCACCAUCUAAAUUCUGUGUAAGUAUAAGUCACAUUAUUCAAUCCACGAUUUCAUUUUCCAUAUUGUUAGUACUAUUGUAUUGCAUUGUAUUGUAUUGUAUUUCCCACUAAUGUAAUUUAAUUUAGUGUAAUAUAGUUUAGUUGUCAAAGUUCAGCACUGUAUUGUCUCCUUUACUGAAGCCUUUGCUACAAGUAUGAUAUUAAUCUCUCUGUCAGGCCUGGAAAAUAUCUGUCCAUUUGUGGCCACUCCAUCGCAUGGAUGACAUCCAUGCUGAAUACAAAAUACUCAACUUGAUUAUGGAUAUCUAGUGGUCCCUAAUGGAUUUUAAUGUGUUUUUCCUAAUUGUUCAUGCUGGCUUAUUUAAUUUUAUUCUGAUGAUAAUCAUCUACCCAUGAUAGAGGACCCUGUUGGGUGAAUGUUGAUAUUUUAACUCUUCUGGUUGUGCUUUAUUACUUUCUUAAAUACUUGAUGCAUUAUUGAUGAAAUUAAUGUCUAAAUUGUUUAUUUACUAGUUUUUCAAAAGUCAGCAAAUUAUUAAAUAAGCAGAUUUCUUCAGAAAUAACUUUGUCCUGGGAGGGAAUACAGAGGGAAUACACCCUGGAUGGGACACCACUUCACACCCAUACACUCACGCAAACACACGUUUCUCUCUCUCUCACUCUGUCUCUCUGUCUCUCUCUCCCUCUCUUAAACACACCCACACACUCAAUUAACCAAUCCUCUUUUUUUUUUUUUACUGUUGGUGUUCAAGGGCUGCCCUCAAUUAUCUGUACUGUGAUUAUGUUCUCUGCAAAGAAAGGAGAAGAGCCUGGAGAUACAAUUUCAUUUUCACAGGCAUUUCAUGGCCUCAUUGCAGGCUCGAAGUGAGAUCUCAAUCUCGUUUGCAACAGGAAAUACGUUUUUGGCCCUCAUCAAUUUGCCGUUCACGCCUUGGAUAAAUGGAAUCAGACGUUCAAUAUGGCUACACAGGCUCUGUGGUGAUAUAAUACAUAUCAGGUCCUGGCAAUUAACGAUAAUCUUUACUGACUUCAUUUGUAUGGAUUACAACAUCUAUCACUGAGAUGGAGCGAGCCAUUAGCAUACAGCUUGGGUGAUUUGCAUGGCCAUGGUACACUCAGAUCUCCAGUGUGCAUGUGUGAGUACGUGUGCGUGCACAAAUAACCUUUGGUUGUUAUUGGCUAAGUCUAAAAUGUAUGGAGAAUAGUGUGCUGGUGUGUGUGUGUGUGUGUGUGUGUGUGUUGCUCGUACUUCCACAGUCUAGUGAUUACAUUUUCAUAUCACGAUAUUGGUCUUAUAUCACUAUUUAUUAUGAUAUUAUAUAUGCUGCCUUCCAAAUGGAACAGACUUAAUGUUGCCCACAAUUGCCUACCUAUACAGCCUUCUCCCAAAUGGAACUGAUGAAACUAUAAAACAAAUUGAAUUUCUCAAAGACCUCAUCACUAGGGACAAUAAUGAGUGAGCCAGUAUCAAGUGUUAGCUGUUAAAGCAAUAGUUUCGCUUAGUUUUUAAAAAAUUUCUUAACUUAAAUGUAGUUGAUCAGCCAAGACUGAAGAUUAAGACUAAUGUUUCUAAGAAGUAAGGAUAGUUUGUAGCCUCUACUUUAGCACUGUGUAAUCUGCAUGUCUAAAUAAUAACACAUUUACCUUAAACAAUACUGUUUGUCUCAGUAAAAUGUCAUUUAUACUUCUAACUUAAAAAUUUAGGCCAGACUUCUUACCGGAGUUCACAGAGUGAUAGUAAACUACUGUGUCUGAUAAGGAUGACAGUGACUAUGUUUACAUGGACAGCAAUGAUCUAAUUAUUGACCUUAUUCUGAAUAAGAUAAUAUUGUGAUUAAGGUGUUUACAUGAGUCGCUUUUAGAAUACACCCUUCAUGUUCCCGUGUUACAUGUUAUAGAACAUAGAUCGAUUAAUGGCACACGUCAUUGCGUCCCCACGCCACGCCGUCUGACGUUCCCUCCAGAAUUUCACGUAUCAACAUACAGUUCGUCUUUGUUAUGGUACCGUAUACAGUUUUGGGUGUUUAAUUUUUAAUUUCACGAAAGCUUCAAGUGCAGUUAAUUAUUUGUCAUGCUAUACGUGCUAAUAGACAACUGCUUGAAGCCAUGGACUGCGUCCCAAACCCCAUACUGACCUAUUAUAUAGUAGCUGAGAUACAUGUAUUUCACCUACUAUAUACAUGUAUUUCGCCUACAUGUUUACAUGCUAGUUUCUUAAUCAGAGUAUUGUCUUAAUCGGGUUAAUAUUGAAUUAUUGUUGUCCACGUAAACGUACUGAUUGAUUCAGCCUUUGAGAUGGCUGUUACAAAGAUUUGAACUAUGUAACGUCCUUGCUUGUAAACAGAUAACAGUACCACGCAGUGUCAAAAAAACAUAUAUGCAAGUCUUUGUGAGUGUGUGAUGGUGUAAAUAUGUUACUUGCAUAAUAUUAAACUCAUAGCUGUAAACUUAAUUUACUUGCUGGCUACAUUAGCCUUGUAGCUGUGGUAUAGAGGGCAUGCACGUGACGUCACUGCGGUCACGCCCACUGAGUGGCAAAAAGACUGAGUUGCAGCAUUAGUGUACAGUGUGAAUUCCAUGAAAACACAGAAAAAAAAUGCAUCUAAAAUGAGGAAAGAAUUGUUGUGCGAUCGACUGUGCUAAGAGAUGCAACAAGAAUUCAGAGCUCUCUUUUUACAGAGUGCCAAAAAACCAUUCACUCCUUUUUUAUUAAGUGGAGCAGUGGAAGUGUUAAUUGUUUUGGCAUGUGGUAUUCAUGUUGUACAAUGAUGAAUAAUUUGCUACAUAUUUCUUUUUAAACGCUGCCUAUUUCCACUGAUGAAUUUCGGGGGCUCAUUCAUUCUCUGACUGUGUUUUACCUUCACAGAUAUAUAACGUUAGGAAGCGGAAGCAGUGUUAGCUACAAACAAACUACAACUAGCUAGCUUACGGUUUACCAAAUAAAAUGAUAUAAUAAAACAAAAAUAUUUGUCCAUGCCUGUCCACAUACAACCAGAAUGUUUAUUGGUGUUCUUGUCACAUUAAUUUCGCCAACAAAUCUCGCCUUGAAGUAGGACCAAGCGUCAAGGCUUUUGUAUGCAUUCAGGCUUUGCUUAGUGUAUUUCCCCGGCGUCUAAAUCAGGUGUAUAUAAAUGUCGGGAAAACCGAUUUUUGGCCACAUGCCAAUGUCCAUGGACCACAUGUUCUUGGGCAAGUUGUAAGGGUCACUGUCGAGUCCAACUGCCUUUAAUUUAAGUCGAUAAUUAUUAGUUAUACUAGCGUUUUCACAGCUUCCACUAUUAAAACCAGCCAUUUUGCUGGAUGUUUUGCCACACAGUCCGGCCGAGGGGGCAUUGUUAAGCUCCCGCCAGCAGAUGGCACUGCGGCGUCGACUUGCACGUGCAACUUUAGGGAGCGCGCGUGCACGAGACUUUUGUAUGUGGACACGCGCCUUGGUUUGUUUUGGUUUUCCCCUUGUUUAAGCAAUGGUUCAUGUUUGAGGGGGUGUCUUGAUUUACUCCAGGUGUCUAUGAUUUAGUAUUGAUUGUGUUAGUCAUUUAAACCCCUCGUGUUGAUGUGCACAUCGCGCAGUCUUUACGUUACGUUAACUAAGAGUGUUUGUAUGGUGAAUGUGUUACGUAUGGUAAGCAUUCUUGUUUUCGUGUCCAGUUUCUGAUCCAUGCCUCGUAUCCAGUUUUCAUGUUUGAUCACCUGUUCCUGUCUGUUUCCUUGUUUCCUUGUUUAUUGAGUUAAGUUUCAAAUAAAGAAAUUGCUCCUGCACUUACUUCCUGUCUCCAAGUCCUGAUACAUUACAGAAUAUUGCGCCAAAACAUUUAAGUAGCAGGACAGCGCAUUGUCGGGAAGUUUCGGUAUUACUGGGACUUCCCGCGGCCGGAGGAGUACUACGCUUGGUAGUGGAAGCAGCAGGAGGAGUACUACUCUUGGCAGUGGAAGCAGUGGGAGGAUGAAAUAGAUCAGAUACUCCGCAACGUGGAGGAAGGGCUUCGCCCCGUCCCGUAGCACGGAACAACGCUCCACCUUCCUGCCCUGCUGAGAACCCAGUCACGCUGCCCAGUCCGGAACCGAAGGCUGCCCUAGAACAUUUUUUGGGGGGAUAACCGCAACUGCAGACCUCCCCGUAGGUCUCAGCUGUGGAACUCCCGCCUGAGGUCAACAUGGCGACCUCAGAGCUCCAGCUUGAGACCUACGGGGAGGUCUCAGCUGUGGAGAUCCCGCCUGAGGUCAACAUGGUGUCCUCAGAGCUCCAGCUUGCGACCUAUGGGGAGGUCUCAGCUGUGGAGCUCCAGCCCGCCGAGGAAGCUGUCCCGUUGUCCAGCCCUGCCGAGGAAGCUGUCCUGCUGCCCUGUCCUGCCAAGGAGGCUGUCCCGCUGUUCUGUCCAGCCGAGGAAGCUGUCCCGCUGUCCUACCCCGCUGGGGACGCCGACCAGCAUUCUUGUCCUGCCGAGGGUGUCGUCCAGCGUUCCAGUCCCAUUGAGGGCGUCAUCCAGCAUUCCAGUCCCACUGAGAACGUCGUCCAGCGUUCCAGUCCCGCUGGGGGCGUCGUCCAGCGUUCCAGUCCUGCUGGGGGUGGGGCUCCGCCUGUCGGCUAUCCGGUGGAGGCCACCCUAUUUUCCGAUACAUUGAGAGACAGAUCACACGGGGGUCCCGGACUGCCAUUGGAGGGGGGGGUGCUCGUUGGAGCUCCGGGAGAAAGCAUUGGUUGAUGUUCGAGGGUGUGUCUUAAUUUACUCCAGGUGUCUGUAUUUAGUUUGAGUAUGUUGGUUAUUUAAACCCCUCGUGUUGCUGUGCACUUCGCGCAGUAUUAUUCGUAUAUGUUUAUAGAUAUGCAUGAUAGAGGUCUUAUUUCCAUGUUUGUUCUCGUUCCAUGUCUAGACUUUAAGUUCCAUGUUUAACCCAGUUAUCCUUGUCCAGUUUAGACUGCGUUUCCUGUGUUUUGCCUGCUGUGUUGUUAAUAAAGACAUUGCUCCUGCGAUUACUUCCUGUAUAUAGUCCUGUGACGUUACAGACGUGUUCCAUUGGGAAAGUGACGUCAAUGCACACCCUCUAUAAUAUAAAAGAUUUAGACUCCAAACAUGUCUUAGCUAGUCAACGUCAUUUGGUAUAAGAAGAAAGGUUCAUACAUUUUGUUUUUUGGCCAGGCUAGUUUUAAAUGACAACAAUAAACAUUGUUAGCAUAAUGUGUUACCAUUUGAUAGAAAUAAAUAGCAUCACAAUAAAGCAACUGAUUGACUUACCAAAUGAAUGAAUGAAUGUUUUUUUAACAAGAUAUGCAAACAGAUUUCAGUCUCAAAUGAUUAUUUCUCAAAGAGAUAAACUAUGGAUUUGCCUCAGUUAUUUUAAUGGUUCUUGAAUGGAUCAGAUCAGUAAAACGUUGGAUCAGUGUUUAAUAUUUGGUGGGAAAAAAAAAAGUUCCAGGAGGUGCAGAGACUUUGGACCUGGUUAUACAAACACAUACACACCCACCCAUGGACACAUGCAUAAACGCACAAAGUAACACUUUGUGAUAAGUCUUCCACAUUUCUCUCUCUUGUAUGUGAACUUUACCCCUCUAGCCAGAGUGACUGACAGUCAUGUCAACAUGCUUAUCAGCAAUAAUGAAGAGCUCUGGAAAAAGCACCUCUGCAUGGAAAGAGGAAGCUGUGGCUGAGUGAGCAAUAACAUAGGGAAUAAGGAACAGGGAAUUUUCCUGUAAGGGUAACACUGUACAAUAAUGGUUCCUUAAUGAACACAUUAAAUUAACAUAUUAAUCAUUUAAUAAAGUAGAAAGCAUUGCUAAACAGUUCAGUGAUAAGUCUAUUAACUAACACGCUAAUAAUCCUUUUUGUAUUUUAACAUAACCUUAACGAUGACCCC